This 498-nucleotide ribosomal RNA is filed under the name uncultured bacterium. Its description in RNAcentral is "partial 16S ribosomal RNA". It matches the Rfam family "Bacterial small subunit ribosomal RNA", at positions 30 to 523 of the family's 1533-position model. The record is from RNAcentral.
AUUGAACGCUGGCGGCAUGCCUUACACAUGCAAGUCGAACGGUAACAGGUCUUCGGAUGCUGACGAGUGGCGAACGGGUGAGUAAUACAUCGGAACGUGCCUAGUAGUGGGGGAUAACUACUCGAAAGAGUGGCUAAUCCCGCAUGAGAUCUACGGAUGAAAGCAGGGGAUCGCAAGACCUUGUGCUACUAGAGCGGCAGAUGGCAGAUUAGGUAGUUGGUGGGGUAAAAGCUUACCAAGCCGACGAUCUGUAGCUGGUCUGAGAGGACGAUCAGCCACACUGGGACUGAGACACGGCCCAGACUCCUACGGGAGGCAGCAGUGGGGAAUUUUGGACAAUGGGCGCAAGCCUGAUCCAGCAAUGCCGCGUGCAGGAUGAAGGCCUUCGGGUUGUAAACUGCUUUUGUACGGAACGAAAAGCCCUGGGUUAAUACCCUGGGGUCAUGACGGUACCGUAAGAAUAAGCACCGGCUAACUACGUGCCAGCCGCCGCGGUAA